This 253-nucleotide ribosomal RNA is filed under the name uncultured bacterium. RNAcentral's name for it is "partial 16S ribosomal RNA". It matches the Rfam family "Bacterial small subunit ribosomal RNA", at positions 524 to 776 of the family's 1533-position model. The record is from RNAcentral.
UACGGAGGGUGCAAGCGUUAUCCGGAUUCACUGGGUUUAAAGGGUGCGUAGGUGGGUUGGUAAGUCAGUGGUGAAAUCCCCGAGCUUAACUUGGGAACUGCCAUUGAUACUAUCAGUCUUGAGUACCGUGGAGGUCAGCGGAAUAUGUCAUGUAGCUGUGAAAUGCUUAGAUAUGACAUAGAACACCAAUUGCGAAGGCAGCUGGCUACACGAAUAUUGACACUCAGGCACGAAAGCGUGGGGAUCAAACAGG